Molecule: long non-coding RNA, 303 nt
Filed under: Hordeum vulgare
Lineage: Eukaryota; Viridiplantae; Streptophyta; Magnoliopsida; Poales; Poaceae
Description: long non-coding RNA (HVUL_LNC003201)
Source: RNAcentral
UUCUUCUUUACUUCUUCUCCUUCUUAUUUUUUUCUUCUCUUCUUAUUCUUCUUCUUCUCCUUCUUAUUUUUUCUUCUCCUCCUCUUCUUCUUCUUCUUCUUCUUCUUCUUCUUCUUCUUCUUCUUCUUCUUUUUCUUCUCCUCCUCCUCCUCCUACUCCUCUUCUUCUUCUCCUCUUCUCGUCCUCCUCCUCCUUCUCUUCUCCUCUUCUCCUCCUCCACCUAACUAACCAAGCUAACUAACUAACCUAACUAAAACUACUAACCUAACUAAAUCUACCACUAAAACUACUAACCUAACUAAA